Molecule: long non-coding RNA, 480 nt
Filed under: Elaeis guineensis (African oil palm)
Lineage: Eukaryota; Viridiplantae; Streptophyta; Magnoliopsida; Arecales; Arecaceae
Description: long non-coding RNA (EGUI_LNC069367)
Source: RNAcentral
UUUUUUAAAAUUAUUGGUUUUGCUUCAUGCAUCGCACCCACGGCCCAGAUGUGUCCACGUGAGACCAUUCACCCGGGAGUCUUUCAUAUAUCUUCUUCCUUUUAAAACAUCUCACGACUUGCUCGCUUGAAUUUGUUUUUGUUCCCAUGGGUCAGCAACACCUACUUCAAAUGCAAACAACAUCUUGGUCCCACUUGACUAAGCUAUUAGCAUUUCACGGCUCAUCCACUUUUCUAUGGACCAAGUGGUCCAUGGUGGACCAUAGAUUUAUAAAUUGAUAUGGUUCAUCUUCUGACUUUGAAUUUAAUUUUAUUUUGACUCCAUUUUUGGUCUUGUUUGAUCCCUCUAAGCCUGCAGAUUGGCUCUUAAUAUUGGUGCAGCUCUUUUUUGUAAAAUAUAUAAAGAAGUAUCAAUUUUAAAAGAAUAAAGAUAAUUUGAUCCAUAAAUUAAUAUUUCUAUGGAUAAAUUUAUACACCUAUC